GUAUUUUAAAUAUUUUCUCUACACUUAAAUCUAAUUCUUUUCCUUUUAUUUCAUCAAAUAUAUUACUGUCAAAUAUUAUUUUCUGUUUCGUUCCUUCAUCAUUUAAAUAUUCUUCCUUUGUUAUUAUUUUUAUAUCUUCUUCAAUCAUUUGAUUCAUCUAUUUCACUAUCUAUUUCAUUAUCUGUUUCAUUUUCUGAAAUUUCAUAUAUACUAUCUUCACUUUCUAAUUCAUAAUCUAUAUAAUCUAUCUGCAUAUAUUCGGUAUUAUCUAUUUUUAUUUCUGAUAUUUGUU
RNAcentral lists this long non-coding RNA (292 nucleotides) under Capsicum annuum. RNAcentral describes it as "long non-coding RNA (CANN_LNC000485)". Lineage: Eukaryota; Viridiplantae; Streptophyta; Magnoliopsida; Solanales; Solanaceae. The record is from RNAcentral.